AAGAUAUUUCUAAUUUAGAAUCUUUUCAUAUUGUACUCUGAAUUUUAACCGAAUUAUUUUUUAUUAUGAUAUUCAAGCUAAAAAAAAUCGAGAAUGAAUCAUUACAACCAAGUUGAUUCUAUAAUAAAACAUCUGGAUCUGGAUUAUCGACCGUUGACCAGUAAAAAGAUCAACAAAACAAAACUGUAUUGCGACAUGGUGAGCAUGUCAGAGGUCAACUGUCUAAUCUAAAGUAUAAGUCUCCCAAAUUAGUUAAGUACAUUUAAAAAUUAUAAAAGGUAUAAUUUUGUGUUGACAAAUUUUCACAUGAAAAGUAAAAUAACAGAAUUACCGAACUCCUAGGAAAAUUUCAAACGGAAGGCCGUAAUCAAAGAGGGACGAAAGAUACCAAAGGGACAGUCAAACUCAUAAAUCUAAAAUAAACUGACAACGCCAUGGCUAAAAAUGAAAAAAGACAACCAAAAAAAACA
Molecule: long non-coding RNA, 470 nt
Filed under: Mytilus galloprovincialis (Mediterranean mussel)
Lineage: Eukaryota; Metazoa; Mollusca; Bivalvia; Mytilida; Mytilidae
Source: RNAcentral